AUUGAACGCUGGCGGCAGGCCUAACACAUGCAAGUCGAACGGUAACAGAAAGCAGCUUGCUGCUUUGCUGACGAGUGGCGGACGGGUGAGUAAUGUCUGGGAAACUGCCUGAUGGAGGGGGAUAACUACUGGAAACGGUAGCUAAUACCGCAUAACGUCGCAAGACCAAAGAGGGGGACCUUCUGGCCUCUUGCCAUCGGAUGUGCCCAGAUGGGAUUAGCUAGUAGGUGGGGUAACGGCUCACCUAGGCGACGAUCCCUAGCUGGUCUGAGAGGAUGACCAGCCACACUGGAACUGAGACACGGUCCAGACUCCUACGGGAGGCAGCAGUGGGGAAUAUUGCACAAUGGGCGCAAGCCUGAUGCAGCCAUGCCGCGUGUAUGAAGAAGGCCUUCGGGUUGUAAAGUACUUUCAGCGGGGAGGAAGGGAGUAAAGUUAAUACCUUUGCUCAUUGACGUUACCCGCAGAAGAAGCACCGGCUAACUCCGUG
RNAcentral lists this ribosomal RNA (490 nucleotides) under uncultured bacterium. Its description in RNAcentral is "partial 16S ribosomal RNA". It matches the Rfam family "Bacterial small subunit ribosomal RNA", at positions 30 to 507 of the family's 1533-position model. The record is from RNAcentral.